CUCGUAGGCGGUUCGUCGCGUCCGGUGUGAAAGUCCAUCGCUUAACGGUAGAUCCGCGCCGGGUACGGGCGGGCUUGAGUGCGGUAGGGGAGACUGGAAUUCCCGGUGUAACGGUGGAAUGUGUAGAUAUUGGGAAGAACACCAAUGGCGAAGGCAGGUCUCUGGGCCGUUACUGACGCUGAGGAGCGAAAGCGUGGGGAGCGAACA
This 207-nucleotide ribosomal RNA is filed under the name uncultured bacterium. RNAcentral's name for it is "partial 16S ribosomal RNA". It matches the Rfam family "Bacterial small subunit ribosomal RNA", at positions 568 to 774 of the family's 1533-position model. The record is from RNAcentral.